Molecule: long non-coding RNA, 1429 nt
Filed under: Hordeum vulgare
Lineage: Eukaryota; Viridiplantae; Streptophyta; Magnoliopsida; Poales; Poaceae
Description: long non-coding RNA (HVUL_LNC014270)
Source: RNAcentral
AUACAAGGCAGAUCACAUGAGGGCCGAAAGGAAAAUGAAUAUUACAGACAAGUCCCUGACUUUUGUGAAGAGGACCUGCAUAGAGAUAGAAAAACACAAUCGGGUCCAAACCAUCUUCUCGGCUUCGCCAUCGUCGGGGACUACGCCACUUGGGACGUUGGUUCUCCACAACUCCUCUUCCAAUAGCCAGAUAUGUCGGAGAAAGAAGCCAUGGACGUCGAGUUGAAGAUGCACUGCGUCCCCUUAGGUACCCAGGCCGGGAGGAAUAACUUUGAUCGACUUUUGGUUAGAAGGAUCAAAGGCGCAGCCAUGAAGGCCGUGUUGGGACAUACCCCGAACCAGCUCUCUCUCUUUCACUCGCAUAGACAAAGGUAAAAGAAGGAGCCCACUGAUUUUUUCAGGCGACGAACACCAUGCCGCACGAACGACGCUUUCUUUUCCUUUUGAGCACAAACUCGACUUGAUGGCACAUACCGCACACAACAUCACACCGCCCAGCCCUCAUGCUGUGCACACACACGCACAACCUAACUAAUCAAGUCCUACAUGCAUGCACGUCUAGCAAUUUGCAGCUCCACUAACGGCCAACUAAUCAAGUCAUACAUGCAUGCACGUCCAGCAAUUUUGCAGCUCCACUAACGGCCACACGACGUAGCUAUGCAUGUAGCUUACUAAGUGUCUCAUUCACACACAACGCCCGCUAACUAACCUCAUUCAGCUAACAACCGCAUGUCAAAAUUACUACUAACAUUUUCUCUCCUAAUUCUGACUUGUCGUUGCCGGAGUUGUUGCAGCAACAGUUGUCGUCGUUGCCAUGGCCGCCGCUACGGCCACCACCUUCUAGCCUCUUCCUCAGCAACAUAUGCCGAGCUCCUUCGCCGGUGACACGCCUCACGUUCCUCGGCGACAAACGCUUGGCUCCUUUUCCCACCGGCGUCACAUGCCCGGCGUUCCGGCGACAUACGCGAUCUCCUCCGGCUCCGACAACACAUAUUGUUGACAGCCGCAGCGCCGCGCAUCUCCUCAGGCUCACACACGGCCCUGAGAUUCAUCGCGUAGCCGCUGGCAAACGCCGCCAUCGCCGGCACGCCUUCGGCAGAGGGAAUGACGCCCAAGACAACCAAGCUCAUGAUACCAAAUGUUGGGACAUACCCGGAACCAGCUCUCUCUCUCACUCACACAGACAAAGGUGAAAGAAGGAGCACACUGAUUUUUUCAGGCGAUGAACACCAUGCCGCACGAACGACGAUUUCUUUAACUUUUGAGCACAAACUUGACUUGAUGGCACAUACCACACACGGUAGCUCUCGCUGCAUGACUACAUCACACUGCCCAACCCUCAUGCUGCACACACAACUCUGGACCCUAUCCUCUUAAGUAGACCCACGCACACACGCACAACCUAACUAAUCAAGUCCUACAUGCAUGC